RNAcentral lists this ribosomal RNA (708 nucleotides) under Bacillus subtilis. RNAcentral describes it as "bacterial SSU rRNA". It matches the Rfam family "Bacterial small subunit ribosomal RNA", at positions 111 to 805 of the family's 1533-position model. Lineage: Bacteria; Bacillati; Bacillota; Bacilli; Caryophanales; Bacillaceae. The record is from RNAcentral.
UAACACGUGGGUAACCUGCCUGUAAGACUGGGAUAACUCCGGGAAACCGGGGCUAAUACCGGAUGCUUGUUUGAACCGCAUGGUUCAAACAUAAAAGGUGGCUUCGGCUACCACUUACAGAUGGACCCGCGGCGCAUUAGCUAGUUGGUGAGGUAAUGGCUCACCAAGGCAACGAUGCGUAGCCGAACCUGAGAGGGUGAUCGGCCACACUGGGACUGAGACACGGCCCAGACUCCUACGGGAGGCAGCAGUAGGGAAUCUUCCGCAAUGGACGAAAGUCUGACGGAGCAACGCCGCGUGAGUGAUGAAGGUUUUCGGAUCGUAAAGCUCUGUUGUUAGGGAAGAACAAGUACCGUUCGAAUAGGGCGGUACCUUGACGGUACCUAACCAGAAAGCCACGGCUAACUACGUGCCAGCAGCCGCGGUAAUACGUAGGUGGCAAGCGUUGUCCGGAAUUAUUGGGCGUAAAGGGCUCGCAGGCGGUUUCUUAAGUCUGAUGUGAAAGCCCCCGGCUCACCGGGGAGGGUCAUUGGAAACUGGGGAACUUGAGUGCAGAAGAGGAGAGUGGAAUUCCACGUGUAGCGGUGAAAUGCGUAGAGAUGUGGAGGAACACCAGUGGCGAAGCGACUCUCUGGUCUGUAACUGACGCUGAGGAGCGAAAGCGUGGGGAGCGAACAGGAUUAGAUACCCUGGUAGUCCACGCCGUAA